GUAGGUCCCGAGCGUUGUCCGGAUUUAUUGGGCGUAAAGCGAGCGCAGGUGGUUUAUUAAGUCUGGUGUAAAAGGCAGUGGCUCAACCAUUGUAUGCAUUGGAAACUGGUAGACUUGAGUGCAGGAGAGGAGAGUGGAAUUCCAUGUGUAGCGGUGAAAUGCGUAGAUAUAUGGAGGAACACCGGUGGCGAAAGCGGCUCUCUGGCCUGUAACUGACACUGAGGCUCGAAAGCGUGGGGGGAGCAAACAGGAUUAGAUACCCUGGUAGUCCACGCCGUAAACCGAUGAGUGCUAGGUGUAGGGAGCUAUAAGUUCUCUGUAUCGCAGCUAACGCAAUAAGCACUCCGCCUGGGGAGUCGACCGCAAGGUUG
Molecule: ribosomal RNA, 371 nt
Filed under: uncultured organism
Description: partial 16S ribosomal RNA
Rfam family: Bacterial small subunit ribosomal RNA
Source: RNAcentral